RNAcentral lists this ribosomal RNA (398 nucleotides) under uncultured bacterium. Its description in RNAcentral is "partial 16S ribosomal RNA". It matches the Rfam family "Bacterial small subunit ribosomal RNA", at positions 523 to 918 of the family's 1533-position model. The record is from RNAcentral.
AUACGUAGGGUGCGAGCGUUGUCCGGAAUUACUGGGCGUAAAGAGCUCGUAGGUGGUUUGUCGCGUCGUCUGUGAAAUUCCGGGGCUUAACUCCGGGCGUGCAGGCGAUACGGGCAUAACUUGAGUACUGUAGGGGAGACUGGAAUUCCUGGUGUAGCGGUGAAAUGCGCAGAUAUCAGGAGGAACACCGGUGGCGAAGGCGGGUCUCUGGGCAGUAACUGACGCUGAGGAGCGAAAGCAUGGGUAGCGAACAGGAUUAGAUACCCUGGUAGUCCAUGCCGUAAACGGUGGGCGCUAGGUGUAGGGGUCUCCCACGACUUCUGUGCCGUAGCUAACGCAUUAAGCGCCCCGCCUGGGGAGUACGGCCGCAAGGCUAAAACUCAAAUGAAUUGACGGGG